This is an RNA transcript of Syngnathus acus (greater pipefish), 2959 nucleotides long. RefSeq lists it as uncharacterized. The transcript is spliced from 23 exons. Lineage: Eukaryota; Metazoa; Chordata; Actinopteri; Syngnathiformes; Syngnathidae. The record is from RefSeq and is a predicted model, not a curated record.
UCGUCGCUCGCCCUCUCGCGGCUGCAAUGCUCAACUACAACAACACGGCAUUGGGCACAAAUGUAAAAGCCAUCCAGACUUUGUAUUUGUGUGCUCUUUGUAGUCUAUUUUUGCGAUGUGGAUUCAUUAGUCUCUUAGUCGUCACCCCUUGGUAGUGUUAUACGGAUGUUUGAAGUUCUUAAAUCAAGAUGGGAGGGGUCAUGUUUGCUGACGUAUACGGAAGCAGGAAGUGGCGGGCUCCAACUUCGGAAGGAUUCGGAACGACUUUUCGAGCUCGCUGCUGUGAUGGCGACCACGGCAAGUCCUGAGCGGACCCGGUCGGCGCUGUGGAGCAGAACGGUCCUUCUGCUGGUGCUGUCCGUCUUCCAGCGACCGAGUUGCGUGGUGUCGGAACCGGGAAAAUGGAUCCUGAACGUUGACAGCGACACUUUGAGGAAGCACAACCUCUUCGUUUUUUCUAAAACUCUUUUCAACAACAGUGUCAUCCAUCUCAAAUUGGCGGAGUGGCGCUGCGACGCAUCUUCCCCUGUGCACUUGAACGUGUCGUGGUACCUGAGGAGCUCUCACUGCUACGAUGAAGUCUUCGGCUUGGACGCGGCGCGAGCAGAAAGGUUCUUCAGGUUCCCCAAGGUGAAUCCGGGAGGAAGAAGUGGUUUCUAUGUCAUCCAUCAGUACCCGCUCAUCUCCUGCCAGCAACGCGUGGACCCCAACAUCUUUGGUGUGGAUGCCUUUGAAAUGAAAACGCCACUGGGUGAAUUGCAGCCGAUAACAGAGAAGUCCCCGGGCAGGAGGCGCAGAGAGGCGGAGCUUCCCAAAACAAAGCCGGCCGCCGGAGAAGCGGACGGGAACGCCACGAAGGCGGCGACUUCUGCAGCAGACGGUCGUCGCGCACAGGCUGCCGCCGCCGCCGCCGCCGCCGCCGCCGCACACCCUCACUUUGACGCAGUGGCCCAGAGCUGGGCGGACGCCCCGUACAUGUUCCUGCUCAGCAUCCAGGAGAUCAAAGAACGGAACCUGGCUCCCGCCCCGAGCUCCUGGAGCCUGCAGCUUCAAGUGAGCAUGCGAGGACCUCACGACUACAUGUCGGCGUCGGAAUGGCCGCUCAUGCUGUUCUACAUGCUGAUGUGCGUGCUGUACGUGCUGCUGGCGCUCUUGUGGCUGGUCAUGUCGGCGUGCUACUGGAGGGACCUGCUGAGGAUCCAGUUCUGGAUCGGAGGCGUCAUCUUCCUGGGGAUGCUGGAGAAAGCCGUUUACUACGGCGAGUUCCAGAGCAUCCGAUACGACGGCUUGUCCGUGCGCGGGGCGGCGGUGUUCGCCGAGGUCCUGUCGGCCGUCAAGCGGACGCUGGCCCGCGUCUUGGUCAUCAUCGCCAGCCUGGGAUACGGCAUCGUCAAGCCCAGGCUGGGCGCCUCGCUUCACCGCGUGGCGGCCGUCGCUCUGCUCUACCUGACCUUCUCGGCGGCGGAGGGCGUCCUACGAGUCAACGCCGAUCGGGGCGACAACACCGGCAGCAUUCUUCUGUGCGACGUGGUGCUGGCCUUCACCGACUCCUGCGUCAUCUGGUGGAUCUUUGUGAGUCUGGCCCAGACCACCAAGCUGCUCCGACUCCGCCGCAACACGGUCAAGCUUUCGCUCUACCGACACUUCACCAACACGCUCAUCUUCGCCGUCAUUGCAUCAGUCAUUUUCAUCGUUUGGACCACAAAGACCUUCAAGAUGGCCAAAUGUCAGUCUGACUGGCGCGAGCUUUGGAUCGAUGACGCUUUCUGGCGCUUCCUGUUCUCCGCCAUCCUCUUGGUCAUCAUGUUCCUGUGGCGACCGUCGGCCAACAACCAGAGGUACGCAUUCCGCCCUCUGGUGGAUGACGAGGAGGAGGAGGAGGAAGAGCUCAUGGUGAACGAAGCUUUUGAGGGCAUGAAGAUGAGAGGCGUGAAGAGCGACAGCAACGUUGCGGCCAGAGCCAACAAAGUGGUGGAUGAAGAUCUGAAAUGGGUGGAGGAGAACAUCCCCUCAUCCAUGGCUGACGCGAAAGCAAGAGCACCCAGUUGGAGAUGUCCAAGAUGGAGUGAGGGCAAGGGACGCCGCGGGGGAGACCACUUUCUGGCCUCCGUGGGACAAGCGCUCGCUCGCUCGGCUGGGCUCGGCCGGACUCGGCGCGGCUGCUUGAUGGGUGUCCAUUGUGGCUCUCUCACGUUUGCGUGUCAUUACGUAUAUGGUGUCCACCUCGUGUUGGCUGUUGCCACGGCAGCACACUGCACCGCACCACACAGCGUUUGGACUGGUGGAAGCCAUUUCUCUUGGCAAGCGCUGGCCAUUUCUUUUCUUGGCACUUUUGUGCAAUGGACCGACCGGCUGGCGAGUGGGCGGGCAGGCGGUACAAAGAACGUCCUCCGGCAUGCUCCAAAAGCCAACGUUACGUUUUAGGAAAGCUGCUUUUUUGUACACCAUUAAAAAGUCCUGACAUACUUUGCGUCAAACGCCGGUGCAUCAUGACUUUGUGGCGAGCGAGCGAGCGAGCGGAGCCGGCUUAGUUCACGGCUCCAAGCUUCUUUGGGAAGGAGAUCUUCCGACUGAGCAGGUCGCAAAAAGUCGCCCCAGCGGGCAAGAGGAGGAGCGGCAGCCCGGACGCCGAGUGGCUGCUCACCGGAGAGCGAGGACCACGCCAAUGCACUGCACGCCGAAGCCCUCGGUGACGUCUGCAGGGGGUGGCGAAAGCCGUGAGCGAGCGUCGCUGGCUGCCACGGUUACGUAAACGGAUGAGCUUAUCCAUACGUGGAUUAAUGAGCACCCAAUGGCGCCGUGGCCAACACCUCCCCCAAAGAACAGCACUCGGCACACGGCACGCUUGACUUACAGUGGAGCAACAAAAUAUGACCAACAUCAUCGUGCGUGUCAAUGACUGCAGAGGAACAAACAGUGACAGGAUACACUUUGACUUGGACAAAAUAAGACAGAGAAU